GUGGAGCAGUUUGGUAGCUCGCAAAGCUCAUAACCCUGGGGUUACAGGUUCGAU
This 54-nucleotide transfer RNA is filed under the name Danthoniopsis dinteri. Its description in RNAcentral is "tRNA-Met". Lineage: Eukaryota; Viridiplantae; Streptophyta; Magnoliopsida; Poales; Poaceae. The record is from RNAcentral. RNAcentral also lists the same sequence under 1 other name.